RNAcentral lists this unclassified non-coding RNA (352 nucleotides) under soil metagenome. RNAcentral describes it as "partial contains 5.8S ribosomal RNA, internal transcribed spacer 2, and large subunit ribosomal RNA". The stretch from base 1 to 120 matches the Rfam family "5.8S ribosomal RNA", at positions 35 to 154 of the family's 154-position model. The record is from RNAcentral.
GAUGAAGAACGCAGCGAAAUGCGAUAAGUAAUGUGAAUUGCAGAAUUCAGUGAAUCAUCGAAUCUUUGAACGCACAUUGCGCCCGCCAGUAUUCUGGCGGGCAUGCCUGUUCGAGCGUCAUUACAACCCUCAGGCCCCCGGGCCUGGCGUUGGGGAUCGGCGGAGCCCCCCGUGGGCACACGCCGUCCCCCAAAUGCAGUGGCGGUCCCGCCGCAGCUUCCAUCGCGUAGUAGCUAACACCUCGCGACUGGAGAGCGGCGCGGCCACGCCGUAAAACACCCAACUCUUCUGAAGUUGACCUCGAAUCAGGUAGGAAUACCCGCUGAACUUAGGCAUAUCAAUAAGCGGAGGA